AUUCAGCUGAUGUGUCUCAAAUAGGACGAGAUGCGCGUGAAACUGGAU
This 48-nucleotide non-coding RNA is filed under the name Schistosoma mattheei. The record is from RNAcentral. Lineage: Eukaryota; Metazoa; Platyhelminthes; Trematoda; Strigeidida; Schistosomatidae.